Transfer RNA from Monoraphidium neglectum, 73 nucleotides. It matches the Rfam family "tRNA". Rfam says of the family: Transfer RNA (tRNA) molecules are approximately 80 nucleotides in length. Their secondary structure includes four short double-helical elements and three loops (D, anti-codon, and T loops). NCBI's taxonomy places the organism in Eukaryota, Viridiplantae, Chlorophyta, Chlorophyceae, Sphaeropleales, Selenastraceae. The record is from Rfam.
GCGCUUGUAGCUUAAUGGAUAAAGCGCCGAGCUACGGACUCGGAAAGUGUGGGUUCAAGUCCUGCCAAGCGUG